RNAcentral lists this ribosomal RNA (1306 nucleotides) under uncultured bacterium. RNAcentral's name for it is "bacterial SSU rRNA". It matches the Rfam family "Bacterial small subunit ribosomal RNA", at positions 28 to 1381 of the family's 1533-position model. The record is from RNAcentral.
AACGUACGCUGGCGGCACGCCUAACACAUGCAAGUCGAACGAAGUAGCAAUACUUAGUGGCAGACGGGUGAGUAACAUGUGGGUAUCUGCCCUUUGGCCUGGAAUAACACGAGGAAACUUGUGCUAAUACCGGAUAAGUCUUUACGGAGAAAGCUUUAUGCACCAUUGGAUGAGCCCGCACUUGAUUAGUUUGUUGGUGGGGUAAUGGCCUACCAAGACUGUGAUCAAUAGCUGAUUUGAGAGGAUGAUCAGCCACAUUGGGACUGAGACACGGCCCAAACUCCUACGGGAGGCAGCAGUGGGGAAUCUUGCACAAUGGAGGAAACUCUGAUGCAGCGAUGCCGCGUGAGUGAAGAAGGCCUUUGGGUUGUAAAGCUCUUUCGUCGGGGAAGAAAAUGACUGUACCCGAAUAAGAAGGUCCGGCUAACUUCGUGCCAGCAGCCGCGGUAAUACGAAGGGACCUAGCGUAGUUCGGAAUUACUGGGCUUAAAGAGUUCGUAGGUGGUUGAAAAAGUUGGUGGUGAAAUCCCAGAGCUUAACUCUGGAACUGCCAUCAAAACUUUUCAGCUAGAGUUUGAUAGAGGAAAGCAGAAUUUCUAGUGUAGAGGUGAAAUUCGUAGAUAUUAGAAAGAAUACCAAUUGCGAAGGCAGCUUUCUGGAUCAUUACUGACACUGAGGAACGAAAGCAUGGGUAGCGAAGAGGAUUAGAUACCCUCGUAGUCCAUGCCGUAAACGAUGUGUGUUAGACGUUGGAAAUUUAUUUUCAGUGUCGCAGCGAAAGCGAUAAACACACCGCCUGGGGAGUACGACCGCAAGGUUAAAACUCAAAUGAAUUGACGGGGACCCGCACAAGUAGUGGAGCAUGUGGUUUAAUUCGAAGAUACGCGCAGAACCUUACCAACACUUGACAUGUUCGUCGCGACUUUAAGAGAUUAAAGUUUUCGGUUCGGCCGGACGAAACACAGGUGCUGCAUGGCUGUCGUCAGCUCGUGUCGUGAGAUGUUGGGUUAAGUCCCGCAACGAGCGCAACCCUCACUUUUAGUUGCCAUCAUUUAGUUGGGCACUCUGAAAGAACUGCCAGUGAUAAGCUGGAGGAAGGUGGGGAUGACGUCAAGUCCUCAUGGCCCUUACGUGUUGGGCUACACACGUGCUACAAUGGUAUCUACAACAGGAAGCAAAACAGCGAUGUUAAGCAAAUCCUUAAAAGAUACCUCAGUUCGGAUUGCACUCUGCAACUCGAGUGCAUGAAGCUGGAAUUACUAGUAAUCGUGGAUCAGCGUGCCACGGUGAAUGCGUUCCCGGGUCU